CAACUACUCCCUCCGUCUCACAUUAAGUGUCUCAAAUUUGUCCAAAUAUAGAUGUAUCUAUAUCUAAAAUGCGUCUAAAUACAUGUAAUAUUUCGACACUUAAUAUGAGACGAAGGGAGUAAGAU
Molecule: non-coding RNA, 125 nt
Organism: Brachypodium distachyon (stiff brome)
Lineage: Eukaryota; Viridiplantae; Streptophyta; Magnoliopsida; Poales; Poaceae
Source: Rfam